AGUAGCUGGGUGUGCCUGUGGGCUGGGGAGAAGGGGGUGUGGUACCCGGACUUCGGGAGAGAGUUGCUGUUUACCUGUGGAUGUGAGGGUGUGUGGUGAAGCACUACAGUGUCAAAAAGUUCUCAAGGUGCAGAGGGGAACCCCUAGACAGGCCUUGCCGGAAUCCUGCGGUGACAGAACAAGGAGUCUCAUUCCAUUCCUCCUGAAAAAAAGAAAAAAUAACUGCUGGGAAUUUCUGAGCAAGUGGCAACAGGGAGGUGGUGGCGGGAGCUGCCUUUGCCUUAAAAGGUGUGACGGAGCCAGGGACUUAGCUCACUUGGGGAUGGCCAAGGGGUGUGGAGCGGUGGGUGGCUGGCCACCACCUUGUGGGCUCGCCGCAAAGUGCUCUCUAGAGAGCCUGGAUCUUCACUGAUGGCCUUGCUGGUGAGGGCUGUGCUGCUCCACCUCUAUCCCCUGCCCAGAGGGCUCAGUCCCAUGCAGCUGGCAGCCCACCCUCCUCCAGGUGAGAACGCAGCUACUUGCUGGAGCUUCUGGCGGUCCCCCUGCCCUGUCUCCUGGCCAGUUCCCAGGAUCCCAAAGUCCCCUUCCCUUUUCUUUUUUUUCUGAAGUAGAGUCUCACUCUGUUGCUCAGGCUGGAAUGUGCAGUGGUGCAAUCUUGGGGCUCGCUGCAACCUCUGCCUCCUGGGUUCAAGUGAUUCUCCUGCCUCAGCUUCUCAUGUAGCUGAGAUUACAGGCUCCCACCACCACAUCCAGCUAAUUUCUGUAUUUUUAGUAGAGACAGGGUUUUGCCAUAUUGGCCAGGCUGGUCUUGAACUCCUGACCUCAGGUGAUCUACCCGUCUUGGCCUCCCAAAGUGCUGGGAUUAUAGGCGAGAACCACUGCGCCUGUCCUCCUUCCCUUUCAGGAGCAGUCUCAGGAGCCCAGGCCAGGUCACCGAUAGGAGAGAGGCCUGGUGCAAACCUCACAGGAGGCAGGAAAUUACUGUAGCCCUCCCUAUCGUCGAGCCUACCCUCCGACACCCCCAGUGGAUUCCUGGAACCGGAUAGUACCGAACCUCUGUGGAUUAGGCUUUUUCUCUCUGAUCACCAAGAGCGCUAUGAAGUGACUCACGGGUGGGAACGCCUACUGUGCGGAGACACUGGACAGAGGAACGAGUCUCGUUGCUGCGCGAUUUCGUCACCCUACUCAGAAUGGCAUGCUAUGUAACAUUAUGAAUUAUUUCUGAA
Molecule: non-coding RNA, 1226 nt
Organism: Callithrix jacchus (white-tufted-ear marmoset)
Lineage: Eukaryota; Metazoa; Chordata; Mammalia; Primates; Cebidae
Source: RefSeq, a predicted model, not a curated record